This 912-nucleotide ribosomal RNA is filed under the name uncultured bacterium. RNAcentral describes it as "bacterial SSU rRNA". It matches the Rfam family "Bacterial small subunit ribosomal RNA", at positions 1 to 905 of the family's 1533-position model. RNAcentral also lists the same sequence under 1 other name. The record is from RNAcentral.
UGGAUCCAGACUUUGAUCCUGGCUCAGGAUGAACGCUAGCUACAGGCUUAACACAUGCAAGUCGAGGGGCAGCGGGAUUGAAGCUUGCUUCAAUUGCCGGCGACCGGCGCACGGGUGAGUAACGCGUAUCCAACCUUCCGUACACUCAGGGAUAGCCUUUCGAAAGAAAGAUUAAUACCUGAUGGUAUGAUGAGAUUGCAUGAUAGCACCAUUAAAGAUUUAUCGGUGUACGAUGGGGAUGCGUUCCAUUAGGUAGUAGGCGGGGUAACGGCCCACCUAGCCAACGAUGGAUAGGGGUUCUGAGAGGAAGGUCCCCCACAUUGGAACUGAGACACGGUCCAAACUCCUACGGGAGGCAGCAGUGAGGAAUAUUGGUCAAUGGACGAGAGUCUGUACCAGCCAAGUAGCGUGAAGGGUGAAGGUCCUACGGAUUGUAAACUUCUUUUAUAAGGGAAUAAACCCUCCCACGUGUGGGAGCUUGUAUGUACCUUAUGAAUAAGCAUCGGCUAACUCCGUGCCAGCAGCCGCGGUAAUACGGAGGAUGCGAGCGUUAUCCGGAUUUAUUGGGUUUAAAGGGAGCGCAGACGGGUCGUUAAGUCAGCUGUGAAAGUUUGGGGCUCAACCUUAAAAUUGCAGUUGAUACUGGCGUCCUUGAGUGCGGUUGAGGUGUGCGGAAUUCGUGGUGUAGCGGUGAAAUGCUUAGAUAUCACGAAGAACUCCGAUUGCGGAGGCAGCACACUAAUCCGUAACUGACGUUCAUGCUCGAAAGUGUGGGUAUCAAACAGGAUUAGAUACCCUGGUAGUCCACACGAUAAACGAUGGAUACUCGCUGUUGGCGAUAUACUGUCAGCGGCUUAGCGAAAGCGUUAAGUAUCCCACCUGGGGAGUACGCCGGCAACGGUGCAACUCAAA